This 655-nucleotide ribosomal RNA is filed under the name uncultured bacterium. RNAcentral describes it as "bacterial SSU rRNA". It matches the Rfam family "Bacterial small subunit ribosomal RNA", at positions 60 to 708 of the family's 1533-position model. The record is from RNAcentral.
AGUUCGAACGGGCCUGUUGGGGCAACCUGGCAGUCAGUGGCGGACGGGUGAGUAAUGCAUCGGAACGUGUCCCAUAGUGGGGGAUAACCCGGCGAAAGCCGGACUAAUACCGCAUAAGCUCUAUGGAGGAAAGCGGGGGACCUGAAAGGGCCUCGUGCUUUGGGAGCGGCCGAUGUCCGAUUAGCUUGUUGGUGGGGUAAUGGCCUACCAAGGCGACGAUCGGUAGCUGGUCUGAGAGGAUGAUCAGCCACACUGGGACUGAGACACGGCCCAGACUCCUACGGGAGGCAGCAGUGGGGAAUUUUGGACAAUGGGGGCAACCCUGAUCCAGCCAUGCCGCGUGCGGGAAGAAGGCCUUCGGGUUGUAAACCGCUUUUAGUCGGGAAGAAAAGGCACGACUUAAUACGGCGUGUUCUUGACGGUACCGGCGGAAUAAGCACCGGCUAACUACGUGCCAGCAGCCGCGGUAAUACGUAGGGUGCGAGCGUUAAUCGGAAUUACUGGGCGUAAAGCGUGCGCAGGCGGUUCGCCGUGUCCUGUGUGAAAGCCCCGGGCUCAACCUGGGAAUGGCAUGGGAAACUGGCGGGCUGGAGUGUGGCAGANGGGGGUGGAAUUCCGCGUGUAGCAGUGAAAUGCGUAGAGAUGCGGAGGAACA